UCUACAGGCUUAACACAUGCAAGUCGAGGGGCAGCAUGGUCUUAGCUUGCUAAGGCCGAUGGCGACCGGCGCACGGGUGAGUAACACGUAUCCAACCUGCCGUCUACUCUUGGACAGCCUUCUGAAAGGAAGAUUAAUACAAGAUGGCAUCAUGAGUCCGCACGUUCACAUGAUUAAAGGUAUUCCGGUAGACGAUGGGGAUGCGUUCCAUUAGAUAGUAGGCGGGGUAACGGCCCACCUAGUCUUCGAUGGAUAGGGGUUCUGAGAGGAAGGUCCCCCACAUUGGAACUGAGACACGGUCCAAACUCCUACGGGAGGCAGCAGUGAGGAAUAUUGGUCAAUGGGCGAGAGCCUGAACCAGCCAAGUAGCGUGAAGGAUGACUGCCCUAUGGGUUGUAAACUUCUUUUAUAAAGGAAUAAAGUCGGGUAUGGAUACCCGUUUGCAUGUACUUUAUGAAUAAGGAUCGGCUAACUCCGUGCCAGCAGCCGCGGUAAUACGGAGGAUCCGAGCGUUAUCCGGAUUUAUUGGGUUUAAAGGGAGCGUAGAUGGAUGUUUAAGUCAGUUGUGAAAGUUUGCGGCUCAACCGUAAAAUUGCAGUUGAUACUGGAUAUCUUGAGUGCAGUUGAGGCAGGCGGAAUUCGUGGUGUAGCGGUGAAAUGCUUAGAUAUCACGAAGAACUCCGAUUGCGAAGGCAGCCUGCUAAGCUGCAACUGACAUUGAGGCUCGAAAGUGUGGGUAUCAAACAGGAUUAGAUACCCUGGUAGUCCACACGGUAAACGAUGAAUACUCGCUGUUUGCGAUAUACUGCAAGCGGCCAAGCGAAAGCGUUAAGUAUUCCACCUGGGGAGUACGCCGGCAACGGUGAAACUCAAAGGAAUUGACGGGGGCCCGCACAAGCGGAGGAACAUGUGGUUUAAUUCGAUGAUACGCGAGGAACCUUACCCGGGCUUAAAUUGCAGAUGAAUUACGGUGAAAGCCGUAAGCCGCAAGGCAUCUGUGAAGGUGCUGCAUGGUUGUCGUCAGCUCGUGCCGUGAGGUGUCGGCUUAAGUGCCAUAACGAGCGCAACCCUUGUUGUCAGUUACUAACAGGUUCCGCUGAGGACUCUGACAAGACUGCCAUCGUAAGAUGUGAGGAAGGUGGGGAUGACGUCAAAUCAGCACGGCCCUUACGUCCGGGGCUACACACGUGUUACAAUGGGGGGUACAGAGGGCCGCUACCACGCGAGUGGAUGCCAAUCCCCAAAACCUCUCUCAGUUCGGACUGGAGUCUGCAACCCGACUCCACGAAGCUGGAUUCGCUAGUAAUCGCGCAUCAGCCACGGCGCGGUGAAUACGUUCCCGGGCCUUGUACACACCGCCCGUCAAGCCAUGGGAGCCGGGGGUACCUGAAGUGCGUAACCGCGAGGAGCGCCCUAGGGUAAAACUGGUGACUGGGGCUA
Molecule: ribosomal RNA, 1440 nt
Filed under: uncultured bacterium
Lineage: Bacteria
Description: bacterial SSU rRNA
Rfam family: Bacterial small subunit ribosomal RNA
Source: RNAcentral